CGGAGGAGAGCGCGACGGGACGGACGCGGGCGGGAGCGCAGCAAGCCCUCCCGGCUCCGCCGCGGCGCCUCGCGGGUCCGGGAGGCGAGGGGGCCCCGCGGGGAGACGCUGUGACAACUUUCGUUUCCCCCCGCCCCCCCGAGGGAGCCGCGAGGUCUGCGGCCCCGAAAAACAAGACAUGAAUAACCCAUUUCACAGAUGAAGAAACUAAGACCUUAGAUUAAUUUAUCCAAAUCCCAAAGCGAGUGGACCUGGAGCAAAGACCUUCUGACUCAUUCUCAGGUGGUGCUAGUGGUAAAGAACCCUUUUGCCAAUGCAGGAGACAAAAUGAGAUGUGAGUUCGAUCCCUGGGUCAGGAAGAUCCCCUGGAGAGACCACUGGCAACCCACUCCAGUAUUCUUGCCCGGAGAAUCCCAUGGACAGAAGAGCCUGGCGGGCAACUCAUAGGGUCGCAAGGAGUUGGACAUGUCUGAAGUGACUUAGUAUGCAUGCGUGUUGUUAAUUAUGAAUAUAAUACUGUCUUUUUUUAGGGGCAUGUAUAUGAGCAGAAUACACACUUUUAAUGGGAGUGAUGUGGCAGGAAAAUUACAAC
Molecule: long non-coding RNA, 592 nt
Organism: Bos taurus (domestic cattle)
Lineage: Eukaryota; Metazoa; Chordata; Mammalia; Artiodactyla; Bovidae
Source: Ensembl